RNAcentral lists this long non-coding RNA (601 nucleotides) under Chinchilla lanigera (long-tailed chinchilla). RNAcentral's name for it is "lncRNA (ENSCLAG00000022800.1)". Lineage: Eukaryota; Metazoa; Chordata; Mammalia; Rodentia; Chinchillidae. The record is from RNAcentral.
UUAUGAAAAAAUUUUAAGUGAUUUACGGAUCUUUUAUACAUGUUUUUCAGAGCUAAGAUAAGAGCCUUAACCCUCCUGGAUACUGUUUUAACCAUAAAAAUGAACCCUGAACAUUCACAGAAGACAUCGCCUCAUGGCCAGGACCUUGCACCCUCCUGCCGGUCCGAUGCAGCAGCUGGAGCACCAGGCCUGAGGACGCCACGGGGUCUUCGUGAGGUUUGUAGCAGAGAGGCCAGGAGGAGCCUCGCUUCGCUUCUGAGCACAGUACAUUCACUGUCACUUGGUAACCCAGCAUACAGCUCAGGAUGCCAUCUACAUAAAGACCCAGAGAGGAAAGAGACCAGAGCUUUGAUGAACAACCGCCCAGCUCUAACUCGAGUAAUACAACAGGACAAGAUACCAUGCCUGUAUCUUGUACUUUGGGUAGCUACUAUAAGACAACAAUAACGCAGUGUAUUAAUUAUUGUAACUCUCACUAACUUGCUUUUUAAAACUUGUUUUGAAACUCUGCUUUAUUGUGAUUUUUGUCUUUUUAAAAUUAAAAAAGUGUAAAACCAAUGUACAAUAUUAAAAGAAUGAAGCAAACCUGUUUCUUAAGUGA